This 946-nucleotide ribosomal RNA is filed under the name Halobacillus sp. JC137. RNAcentral's name for it is "bacterial SSU rRNA". It matches the Rfam family "Bacterial small subunit ribosomal RNA", at positions 35 to 965 of the family's 1533-position model. The record is from RNAcentral. RNAcentral also lists the same sequence under 1 other name. Lineage: Bacteria; Bacillati; Bacillota; Bacilli; Caryophanales; Bacillaceae.
ACUGCAGUCGAGCGCGGGAAGCAAGCGGAUCCCCUUCGGGGGUGAAGCUUGUGGAACGAGCGGCGGACGGGUGAGUAACACGUGGGCAACCUGCCUGUAAGACCGGAAUAACCCCGGGAAACCGGGGCUAAUGCCGGGUAACACCUACCUUCGCAUGAAGGAAGGUUAAAAGAUGGCUUCUUGCUAUCACUUACAGAUGGGCCCGCGGCGCAUUAGCUAGUUGGUGAGGUAACAGCUCACCAAGGCGACGAUGCGUAGCCGACCUGAGAGGGUGAUCGGCCACACUGGGACUGAGACACGGCCCAGACUCCUACGGGAGGCAGCAGUAGGGAAUCUUCCGCAAUGGACGAAAGUCUGACGGAGCAACGCCGCGUGAACGAUGAAGGUCUUCGGAUCGUAAAGUUCUGUUGUUAGGGAAGAACAAGUACCGUGCGAAUAGAGCGGUACCUUGACGGUACCUAACGAGGAAGCCCCGGCUAACUACGUGCCAGCAGCCGCGGUAAUACGUAGGGGGCAAGCGUUGUCCGGAAUUAUUGGGCGUAAAGCGCGCGCAGGCGGUUUCUUAAGUCUGAUGUGAAAGCCCACGGCUCAACCGUGGAGGGUCAUUGGAAACUGGGGAACUUGAGGACAGAAGAGGAGAGUGGAAUUCCACGUGUAGCGGUGAAAUGCGUAGAUAUGUGGAGGAACACCAGUGGCGAAGGCGACUCUCUGGUCUGUUUCUGACGCUGAGGUGCGAAAGCGUGGGUAGCAAACAGGAUUAGAUACCCUGGUAGUCCACGCCGUAAACGAUGAGUGCUAGGUGUUAGGGGGCUUCCACCCCUUAGUGCUGAAGUUAACGCAUUAAGCACUCCGCCUGGGGAGUACGGCCGCAAGGCUGAAACUCAAAGGAAUUGACGGGGGCCCGCACAAGCGGUGGAGCAUGUGGUUUAAUUCGAAGCAACGCGAA